RNAcentral lists this ribosomal RNA (253 nucleotides) under uncultured bacterium. RNAcentral describes it as "partial 16S ribosomal RNA". It matches the Rfam family "Bacterial small subunit ribosomal RNA", at positions 524 to 776 of the family's 1533-position model. The record is from RNAcentral.
UACGAACCGUCCAAACGUUAUUCGGAAUCACUGGGCUUAAAGAGUCCGUAGGCGGCCAAUUAGGUGAGGUGUGAAAUCCCCCGGCUUAACCGAGGAAUUGCGCUUCAAACCGACUGGCUAGAGGAAGAUAGAGGAAAGCGGAACUGAUGGUGGAGCGGUGAAAUGCGUUGAUAUCAUCAGGAACACCGGUGGCGAAAGCGGCUUUCUGGGUCUUUUCUGACGCUGAGGGACGAAAGCUAGGGGAGCGAACGGG